AAGCCAAAAGUAGGCACUUCGACUAACUGCCUUCUAAGCAGUAGGUCAGGGGUUCGAGUCCCUUUUGGCGCGCCA
Molecule: transfer RNA, 75 nt
Filed under: Ruminococcus sp. AF42-10
Lineage: Bacteria; Bacillati; Bacillota; Clostridia; Eubacteriales; Oscillospiraceae
Description: tRNA-Ser
Rfam family: tRNA
About the family: Transfer RNA (tRNA) molecules are approximately 80 nucleotides in length. Their secondary structure includes four short double-helical elements and three loops (D, anti-codon, and T loops).
Source: RNAcentral